UGCGUAGGCGGUUUUACAAGUCAGGUGUGAAAGGCUAUGGCUCAACCAUAGUAAGCACUUGAAACUGUAUAACUUGAGUGCAGGAGAGGAAAGUGGAAUUCCUAGUGUAGCGGUGAAAUGCGUAGAUAUUAGGAGGAACACCAGUGGCGAAGGCGACUUUCUGGACUGUAACUGACGCUGAUGCACGAAAGCGUGGGGAGCGAACA
This 206-nucleotide ribosomal RNA is filed under the name uncultured bacterium. RNAcentral's name for it is "partial 16S ribosomal RNA". It matches the Rfam family "Bacterial small subunit ribosomal RNA", at positions 568 to 774 of the family's 1533-position model. The record is from RNAcentral.